CAACGGAUCUCUUGGCUCUCGCAUCGAUGAAGAACGCAGCGAAUCGCGAUACGUAUUACGACUUGCAGACGUGAAUCAUUAAUCUUUGAACGCACAUUGCGCCUUGGAGCAUUCUCCAAGGCAUGCCUGGGUGAGCGUCGGCUAUUCUCAGACCCCCCAGGUCUGGUUUUGUCGCCCAAACUCCACAAUCAAGAUUUUUCUCUUGACCUCAUCCAGGUAGGACUACCCGCUGAACUUAAGCAUAUCAAUAAGCGGAGGAAAAGAAACCAACAGGGAUUGCCCCAGUAACGGCGAGUGAAGCGGCAAAAGCUCAAAUUUGAAAUCCCGCCCCCGCGGGAGUUGUAAUUUGAAGGCCAGCGGCAGCAUGUUCGGAAAACAAAGUCCAUUGGAACAUGGCGCCACGGAGGGUGACAGCCCCGUUAAAAAAACCGAAAUGCAUCUUCGCUGGCCAAAGAGUCGAGUUGUUUGGGAAUGCAGCUCUAACAGGUGGUAAAUCCCAUCUAAAGCUAAAUACCGGCGAGAGACCGAUAGCGAACAAGUACAGUGAUGGAAAGAUGAAAAGCACUUUGAAAAGAGAGUGAAACAGUACGUGAAAUUGCUGGGAGGGAAGGGCUUGCAAGCAGACACGGGAGUAAAAAACCCGGGCCAGCAUCAGGUGGAGCGGCGG
RNAcentral lists this ribosomal RNA (667 nucleotides) under uncultured fungus. Its description in RNAcentral is "eukaryotic LSU rRNA". The stretch from base 203 to 667 matches the Rfam family "Eukaryotic large subunit ribosomal RNA", at positions 1 to 476 of the family's 3401-position model. Lineage: Eukaryota; Fungi. The record is from RNAcentral.